RNAcentral lists this ribosomal RNA (500 nucleotides) under uncultured Glomeromycotina. RNAcentral's name for it is "partial small subunit ribosomal RNA". It matches the Rfam family "Eukaryotic small subunit ribosomal RNA", at positions 591 to 1092 of the family's 1831-position model. Lineage: Eukaryota; Fungi; Glomeromycota. The record is from RNAcentral.
CCAAUAGCGUAUAUUAAAGUUGUUGCAGUUAAAAAGCUCGUAGUUGAAUUUCGGGAUCAAUACGUCGGUCGUGCCUUCGGCACGCACUGGCGCCGUUGAUUUCUCCCUUCUGAUGAACCACGAUGUCAUUAAUUUGGUGUUGUGGGGAGUCAGGACUGUUACUUUGAAAAAAUUAGAGUGUUUAAAGCAGGCAAACGCUUGAAUACAUUAGCAUGGAAUAAUGAAAUAGGACGUUCGAACCUAUUUUGUUGGUUUCUAGGUACAACGUAAGGUUUAAUAGGGAUAGUUGGGGGCAUUAGUAUUCAAUUGUCAGAGGUGAAAUUCUUGGAUUUAUUGAAGAAUAACUACUGCGAAAGCAUUUGCCAAGGAUGUUUUCAUUAAUCAAGAACGAAAGUUAGGGGAUCGAAGACGAUCAGAUACCGUCGUAGUCUUAACCAUAAACUAUGCCGACUAGGGAUCGGAUGAAGUUAAUUUUUUAAUGACUCAUUCGGCGCCUUACG